Theobroma cacao (cacao) is the source of this 496-nucleotide long non-coding RNA. RefSeq lists it as uncharacterized. Lineage: Eukaryota; Viridiplantae; Streptophyta; Magnoliopsida; Malvales; Malvaceae. The record is from RefSeq and is a predicted model, not a curated record.
ACAGUAGAGAGAGAGAGAGAGGGGAUGCUUAACUCAACCGACCUGGUGAUUACUCCAAAAUGAAAGCAAUAUUUCUCAUAGUAUGCAUUCUCUUUGCUUCCUCUUUCUUUAUUCCCACUUCCACCAUGGCUCGACAACUAGUCGAGAAAGGUAUCCCUAAUAAGCUUCCAGCUGUACGUAAUCAAUGCGGCCGCAAUCCUAUUUUCAAAAACUGCAGCCCUAUAAAUAGACCCGGAAAGCCUAUUGUGUGCCCUGAUCCUGCCCUGACUGUUUGCCAUCCUCCUGGACCUUGAAUGGAGGAAAACUAUGGAUUUAUUAGCAAACAAUGUAAAGAAAAUAGCUAAUAAGUUGCCAGCUACUGUAUCGUUGGUAUAGGAAUAGGAAAUUUAAGUUGCCCAUCAUUUGUAUCAUGAAUUCUACUUUGUCUACAACGUAGUGUAUUUUUAUACAUACGUUAUAAAUAAAAAGCUAGUGACCACCUCGGCUUACUUAUAAA